UGGGGAAUAUUGGACAAUGGGCGCAAGCCUGAUCCAGCCAUGCCGCGUGAGUGACGAAGGUCUUCGGAUUGUAAAAUCCUUUCGUUGGGGACGAUAAUGACGGUACCCAAAGAAGAAGCUCCGGCUAACUUCGUGCCAGCAGCCGCGGUAAUACGAAGGGGGCUAGCGUUGUUCGGAUUUACUGGGCGUAAAGCGCGUGUAGGCGGGUCGUUAAGUUGGGGGUGAAAUCCCGAGGCUCAACCUCGGAACUGCCUUCAAAACUGGCGACCUGGACCUAAGUAGAGGCAAGUGGAAUUGCGAGUGUAGAGGUGAAAUUCGUAGAUAUUCGCAGGAACACCAGUGGCGAAGGCGACUCGCUGGACUUGUAGUGACGCUGAGACGCGAAAGCGUGGGGAGCAAACAGGAUUAGAUACCCUCGUAGUCCCUGAGCGGGCUGGCAAGGCGCAU
Molecule: ribosomal RNA, 447 nt
Filed under: uncultured bacterium
Lineage: Bacteria
Description: bacterial SSU rRNA
Rfam family: Bacterial small subunit ribosomal RNA
Source: RNAcentral